RNAcentral lists this long non-coding RNA (877 nucleotides) under Manihot esculenta (cassava). RNAcentral's name for it is "long non-coding RNA (MESC_LNC000494)". The record is from RNAcentral. Lineage: Eukaryota; Viridiplantae; Streptophyta; Magnoliopsida; Malpighiales; Euphorbiaceae.
UACAAGUUAAACACUAGCCUUGCUCGAAGUAAACCCAACUGGUUGAGGAGAGCAGAUUCCUGGUUCUGUUGUUGCAAUGGCCAGAAAUUGCUGAUGAGGAGAAACAACAAUAUAUGUCCAAGAAAGAAGGUAAACCAAAUGAAGAAUCAAUCAACCAAAAAGCCAAAAAAUCUAAGUCACCAAAGAGCACAGAAGCCAAAAAAAUAUAUCAACCACCAUGGCCACAAAAAUGCUUGGGCUGAAAAAAGGAAGCAGAGAGAGCUCGCCGGUAUUCUUUAUCCUGAAGAAUCAACCGUCCGGAACCAAAUGGAAGCGACUUAGUGAUCCUCGAGAUACUCUGCAACAAGCAUAAAACACAACCAUUCAUAGCCAAUAUAGAUCAGAAGCUUUCUGAAGCACAUGCUGGUGAAACGGGUGUAGAUUCGAGAUGAUAGAGCUCCACACCGUCAUCCCCAUCACUUCCAGAACAUGCCAGGAUGAAAGCAAAAGAAGCAAAUUGUAACCAAGCAUGUAUGAGAGAAAAAGCACUACCAAACAACACCUAACACACUAAAAAGAACACAUAUCUAAGAAAAAAAAAAAUCUCUUUUAAAGCACCAAUCUGUUAAAGCAAAACAAAAACCUUAUUUACUGGGUGGGGACCCACUCUCUGGGCAGGAGAAGAACUGGCCAUCCCCUGUUCGGAUGGGGCAGAGGACGGCCAUACAGGAGCGACAAAAGAAAGCCGACGAAACUGCCGAGAAACUGAAGAGGACCAAAAGAGAGAGCUUCUCUCUCUAGCUCAAAACUAACGGGUCAAUCCACUUAAGUUGGAUCCACUAUAUACAACGGGUCAUUCAGUCAAUUCACUUAAGUUGGAUCCACUAUAUAUAACGGG